The sequence is a ribosomal RNA, 436 nucleotides long. It matches the Rfam family "Bacterial small subunit ribosomal RNA", at positions 341 to 792 of the family's 1533-position model.
ACGGAAGGCAGCAGUGGGAAUAUUGGGCAAUGGGCGAAAGCCUGACCCAGCAACGCCGCGUGAAGGAAGAAGGUCUUCGGAUUGUAAACUUCUUUUAUAAGGGACGAAGAAAGUGACGGUACCUUAUGAAUAAGCCACGGCUAACUACGUGCCAGCAGCCGCGGUAAUACGUAGGUGGCAAGCGUUAUCCGGAUUUACUGGGUGUAAAGGGCGCGUAGGCGGGGAUGCAAGUCAGAUGUGAAAUCUAUGGGCUCAACUCAUAAACUGCAUUUGAAACUGUAUCUCUUGAGUGCUGGAGAGGUAGAUGGAAUUCCUUGUGUAGCGGUGAAAUGCGUAGAUAUAAGGAAGAACACCAGUGGCGAAGGCGAUCUACUGGACAGUAACUGACGCUGAGGCGCGAGAGCGUGGGGAGCAAACAGGAUUAGAUACCCUGGUA